GGGCGGAUAACCCGUAAUUGGUAGCGGUCAUGACUGUAAAUCAUGUGUCUUCGGAUUCUGUUGGUUCAAGUCCAGCUCUGCCCA
RNAcentral lists this transfer RNA (84 nucleotides) under Lachnospiraceae bacterium NE2001. RNAcentral describes it as "tRNA_Tyr_GTA". It matches the Rfam family "tRNA". Rfam says of the family: Transfer RNA (tRNA) molecules are approximately 80 nucleotides in length. Their secondary structure includes four short double-helical elements and three loops (D, anti-codon, and T loops). The record is from RNAcentral. Lineage: Bacteria; Bacillati; Bacillota; Clostridia; Lachnospirales; Lachnospiraceae.